RNAcentral lists this ribosomal RNA (401 nucleotides) under uncultured prokaryote. Its description in RNAcentral is "bacterial SSU rRNA". It matches the Rfam family "Bacterial small subunit ribosomal RNA", at positions 355 to 774 of the family's 1533-position model. The record is from RNAcentral.
UGGGGAAUAUUGGACAAUGGGCGAAAGCCUGAUCCAGCAAUGCCGCGUGAGUGAUGAAGGCCUUAGGGUUGUAAAGCUCUUUUACUGGGACGAUAAUGACGGUACCCGAGGAGGAAGCCACGGCUAACUACGUGCCAGCAGCCGCGGUAAUACGUAGGUGGCGAGCGUUGUCCGGAUUUACUGGGCGUAAAGGGAGCGUAGGCGGACUUUUAAGUGAGAUGUGAAAUACCCGGGCUCAACUUGGGUGCUGCAUUUCAAACUGGAAGUCUAGAGUGCAGGAGAGGAGAAUGGAAUUCCUAGUGUAGCGGUGAAAUGCGUAGAGAUUAGGAAGAACACCAGUGGCGAAGGCGAUUCUCUGGACUGUAACUGACGCUGAGGCUCGAAAGCGUGGGGAGCAAACA